RNAcentral lists this ribosomal RNA (582 nucleotides) under Theileria sp. RNAcentral's name for it is "SSU rRNA". It matches the Rfam family "Eukaryotic small subunit ribosomal RNA", at positions 525 to 1140 of the family's 1831-position model. The record is from RNAcentral. Lineage: Eukaryota; Apicomplexa; Aconoidasida; Piroplasmida; Theileriidae.
UUAAACCUCUUCCAGAGUAUCAAUUGGAGGGCAAGUCUGGUGCCAGCAGCCGCGGUAAUUCCAGCUCCAACAGCGUAUAUUAAAAUUGUUGCAGUUAAAAAGCUCGUAGUUGAAUUUCUGCUGCAUUGCAUCUUCUUUUUGAUGAGUUGAUGUAUUGUGGCUUAUUUCGGAUGAUACUUGUAUUAUCCGGAUGAUUACUUUGAGAAAAUUAGAGUGCUCAAAGCAGGCUUUUGCCUUGAAUAGUUUAGCAUGGAAUAAUAAAGUAGGACUUUGGUUCUAUUUUGUUGGUUUUAGGUACCAAAGUAAUGGUUAAUAGGAACAGUUGGGGGCAUUCGUAUUUAACUGUCAGAGGUGAAAUUCUUAGAUUUGUUAAAGACGAACUACUGCGAAAGCAUUUGCCAAGGAUGUUUUCAUUAAUCAAGAACGAAAGUUAGGGGAUCGAAGACGAUCAGAUACCGUCGUAGUCCUAACCAUAAACUAUGCCGACUAGAGAUUGGAGGUCGUCAGUUUUUACGACUCCUUCAGCACCUUGAGAGAAAUCAAGGUCUUUGGGUUCUGGGGGGAGUAUGGUCGCAAGGCUGA